RNAcentral lists this transfer RNA (82 nucleotides) under Canis lupus familiaris (dog). It matches the Rfam family "tRNA". From Rfam's summary of the family: Transfer RNA (tRNA) molecules are approximately 80 nucleotides in length. RNAcentral also lists the same sequence under 1 other name. Lineage: Eukaryota; Metazoa; Chordata; Mammalia; Carnivora; Canidae. The record is from Rfam by way of RNAcentral.
GCUCAGUUGGUUAAGCAUCUGACUCUUGAUUUCAGCUCAGGUCUUGAUCUCGGGGUUGUGAGUUCAAGUCCCACACUGAGCU